UACGUAGGGUGCAAGCGUUAAUCGGAAUUACUGGGCGUAAAGCGUGCGCAGGCGGUUAUGCAAGACAGGUGUGAAAUCCCCGAGCUCAACUUGGGAACUGCACUUGUGACUGCAUAGCUAGAGUACGGUAGAGGGGAGUGGAAUUCCGCGUGUAGCAGUGAAAUGCGUAGAUAUGCGGAGGAACACCGAUGGCGAAGGCAGCUCCCUGGGCCUGUACUGACGCUCAUGCACGAAAGCGUGGGGAGCAAACAGG
RNAcentral lists this ribosomal RNA (253 nucleotides) under uncultured bacterium. Its description in RNAcentral is "partial 16S ribosomal RNA". It matches the Rfam family "Bacterial small subunit ribosomal RNA", at positions 524 to 776 of the family's 1533-position model. The record is from RNAcentral.